CGCCCCUCCGCCGCGCCCCCGACACGCACGCGGCCCCGGCCGGCGGUGGGCACCGCGGGGUCCUGGACGGUUUCCCCAGGUGAAGAAAAUGCAUCCCCCUCAACCAAGCCUGAGCACAAGCGGGAGUGCGAGGGAUGUCUUGCUCUCCAGGCUGGAGUUCAGUGGCACAACCAGCUCACUGCAGCCUUGAAUUACUGAGCUUACUUGAUCCUCCCAACUCAGCCUCCCAAGUAACUGGGACUGCAGACUUGACUUGACCUCCUGAGCAGCUGGGUCCACAGGUGCACACCGCCGGGUCCAGCUUCUCCUACUUCCCACCUUGGCCUGCUGAGCAGCUGGGUCUACAGGUGCAUGCCGCUGGGUCCAGCUUCUCCUACUUCCCACCUUGACUUCCUGAGCAGCUGGGUCUACAGGUGCACACCACCAGGUCCAGCUUCUCCUACUUCCCACCUUGACUUCCUGAGCAGCUGGGUCCACAG
Molecule: long non-coding RNA, 479 nt
Organism: Nycticebus coucang (slow loris)
Lineage: Eukaryota; Metazoa; Chordata; Mammalia; Primates; Lorisidae
Exons: 3
Source: RefSeq, a predicted model, not a curated record